This 111-nucleotide ribosomal RNA is filed under the name Triticum aestivum (bread wheat). RNAcentral's name for it is "partial small subunit ribosomal RNA". Lineage: Eukaryota; Viridiplantae; Streptophyta; Magnoliopsida; Poales; Poaceae. The record is from RNAcentral.
AUGGCCCACAUAUCAGAUAUUAAACUGAUAAGAACAGAUACUACACUUGAUCUUAGCCAAAAGGCCGAGAAAGGUAUGCCUCUCCCUUCUGCCGUGGGUCUGGUUAUAUAG